RNAcentral lists this ribosomal RNA (776 nucleotides) under uncultured Neocallimastigales. Its description in RNAcentral is "partial large subunit ribosomal RNA". It matches the Rfam family "Eukaryotic large subunit ribosomal RNA", at positions 24 to 635 of the family's 3401-position model. The record is from RNAcentral. Lineage: Eukaryota; Fungi; Neocallimastigomycota; Neocallimastigomycetes; Neocallimastigales.
UAUGUGAUCGUCUCUCGCAUAUCAAUAAGCGGAGGAAAAGAAACUAACAAGGAUUCCCCUAGUAACGGCGAGUGAAGCGGGAAGAGCUCAAAUUUGAAAUCUUAAAGGGUUUCCCUUUACGAAUUGUAGUUUAAAGAAGUGUUUUCUGUUGAGGUUUUGGUAAAAGUUCUUUGGAAUAGGACAUCAUAGAGGGUGAGAAUCCCGUAUUUGACCCUUACUUUCAACUUUGUGAUACACUUUCAAAGAGUCGGAUUGUUUGGGAAUGCAGUCCAAAAUGGGUGGUAAAUUUCAUCUAAAGCUAAAUAUUGGCGAGAGACCGGAUAGCGAACAAGUACCGUGAGGGAAAGAUGAAAAGAACUUUGAAAAGAGAGUUAAACAGUACGUGAAAUUGUCAAAAGGGAAGCGUUUGACACCAGUGUUGUUUUUCUGAAAAUCAAUUAAAGAACUGUUUAUGCUAAGUUGUUUAGACUUUAUCAGCUAAUCUGUUUAGUUUUGAGCUUUUCUUUAAUGCACUUUUCAGUUAACAAGUCAACAUCAAUUUCUUUUGCUGUAAAAAAGCUUGAGGAAGGUGGCUUGAGAUUCGUCUUAAGUGUUUAUAGCCUCUUGCCUAUGCAGUCGGAGAGAUUGAGGUCUGCAGCGUAGAUCCUUCGGGGCUAAAUGCAUUUGUGCUAAGUUAUAGCAUUUUAUAGACAACUUGUUGACUAUGAUUUGUCUUGUAGCUUACUCGCUUAUGUUAUUUUACCUACGCUUAGGAUGUUGAUCUACAGAGCGAGAGU